Small nuclear RNA from Ochotona curzoniae (black-lipped pika), 103 nucleotides. The record is from RefSeq and is a predicted model, not a curated record. NCBI's taxonomy places the organism in Eukaryota, Metazoa, Chordata, Mammalia, Lagomorpha, Ochotonidae.
GUGCUUGCUUCAUCAGCACAUAUGCUAAGAUUGGGACCAUACAGAGAAGAUUAGCAUGGCUCCUGUGCAAGGAUGACAAAUUCUUGAAACACUUCUUAUUUUA